This 1145-nucleotide ribosomal RNA is filed under the name Gloeothece aequatorialis. RNAcentral describes it as "16S ribosomal RNA". It matches the Rfam family "Bacterial small subunit ribosomal RNA", at positions 376 to 1533 of the family's 1533-position model. Lineage: Bacteria; Bacillati; Cyanobacteriota; Cyanophyceae; Chroococcales; Aphanothecaceae. The record is from RNAcentral.
CGAAAGCCUGACGGAGCAACGCCGCGUGAGGGAGGAAGGCCCUUGGGUUGUAAACCUCUUUUGAUGGGGAAGAAUUCUGACGGUACCCAUCGAAUCAGCAUCGGCUAACUCCGUGCCAGCAGCCGCGGUAAUACGGAGGAUGCAAGCGUUAUCCGGAAUUAUUGGGCGUAAAGCGUCCGCAGGUGGCUUUUCAAGUCGGCUGUCAAAGCAUGGAGCUUAACUCCAUAGAGGCGGUGGAAACUGAAAGGCUAGAGGCCGGUAGGGGUAGUGGGAAUUCCCAGUGUAGCGGUGAAAUGCGUAGAGAUUGGGAAGAACAUCGGCGGCGAAAGCGCACUACUGGGCAGGACCUGACACUGAGGGACGAAAGCUAGGGGAGCGAAAGGGAUUAGAUACCCCUGUAGUCCUAGCCGUAAACGAUGGAGACUAGGCGUAGCUUGUAUCGACCCGAGCUGUGCCGAAGCUAACGCGUUAAGUCUCCCGCCUGGGGAGUACGCACGCAAGUGUGAAACUCAAAGGAAUUGACAGGGGCCCGCACAAGCGGUGGAGUAUGUGGUUUAAUUCGAUGCAACGCGAAGAACCUUACCAGGGCUUGACAUCUGUAGAACCCGAGUGAAAGCUUGGGGUGCCUUCGGGAGCUACAAGACAGGUGGUGCAUGGCUGUCGUCAGCUCGUGUCGUGAGAUGUUGGGUUAAGUCCCGCAACGAGCGCAACCCUCGUUCUUAGUUGCCAGCAUUAAGUUGGGCACUCUAGGGAGACUGCCGGUGACAAACCGGAGGAAGGUGGGGAUGACGUCAAGUCAGCAUGCCCCUUACGUCCUGGGCAACACACGUACUACAAUGGUCGAGACAGAGGGCGGCGACCUCGCAAGAGCAAGCGAAUCUCAUCAAACUCGGCCUCAGUUCAGAUUGCAGGCUGCAACUCGCCUGCAUGAAGGAGGAAUCGCUAGUAAUCGCCGGUCAGCAUACGGCGGUGAAUUCGUUCCCGGGCCUUGUACACACCGCCCGUCACACCAUGGGAGCUGGCCACGCCCGAAGUCGUUACCCUAACCCCGAAAGGGGAGGGGGAUGCCGAAGGCAGGGCUAGUGACUGGGGUGAAGUCGUAACAAGGUAGCCGUACCGGAAGGUGUGGCUGGAUCACCUCCUUU